This is a small nucleolar RNA of Ornithorhynchus anatinus (platypus), 138 nucleotides long. NCBI's taxonomy places the organism in Eukaryota, Metazoa, Chordata, Mammalia, Monotremata, Ornithorhynchidae. The record is from RefSeq and is a predicted model, not a curated record.
CCCUUCUCAGGAUCAAACCUGGAGAGUUUCUAGAACUCUACCAGUCUUGACUAGGGGAGGGAGAGUCAAGCAGAGGCAUACCCAUUCCAUUCCUGAUUUGGCCAGUGGCUAGUGAGUGGAAGCCAACCUGCCCCAAGC